This 433-nucleotide ribosomal RNA is filed under the name uncultured bacterium. RNAcentral's name for it is "partial 16S ribosomal RNA". It matches the Rfam family "Bacterial small subunit ribosomal RNA", at positions 29 to 507 of the family's 1533-position model. The record is from RNAcentral.
AACGAACGCUGGCGGCAUGCCUAACACAUGCAAGUCGAACGAGACCUUCGGGUCUAGUGGCGCACGGGUGCGUAACGCGUGGGAACCUGCCCUUAGGUUCGGAAUAACUCCCCGAAAGGGGUGCUAAUACCGGAUAAUGUCCUCGGACCAAAGAUUUAUCGCCCUUGGAUGGGCCCGCGUUGGAUUAGCUAGUUGGUAGGGUAAAAGCCUACCACGGCGACGAUCCAUAGCUGGUCUGAGAGGAUGAUCAGCCACACUGGGACUGAGACACGGCCGAGACUCCUACGGGAGGCAGCAGUGGGGAAUAUUGGAAAAUGGGCGAAAGCCUGAUCCAGCAAUGCCGCGUGAGUGAUGAAGGCCUUAGGGUUGUAAAGCUCUUUUACCCGGGAUGAUAAUGACAGUACCGGGAGAAUAAGCACCGGCUAACUCCGUG